Molecule: ribosomal RNA, 982 nt
Filed under: uncultured bacterium
Lineage: Bacteria
Description: bacterial SSU rRNA
Rfam family: Bacterial small subunit ribosomal RNA
Source: RNAcentral
AUCGCCUGGAGCAUGACUUGCAUGUCGAUCGGACGGCGGGUGCUUGCUUGCGCCGGGUGGUGAGUGACGAAUGAGUGAUACAUCCAUCCAUGCCUGGCCUGGAGGGAGGGACAGCCCGGAGAAGGAUGGAUUACUCCUACAAUCUAUCUACGGAAGAAAGCGACCGACCUUCCUGCCUCUCUCUGUAUGGUCGAUCGAUGAUUGAUUAGCUGGUGGGGGGGGUGACUGCCUACGAAAGCAACAAUAACUGGUUGGACUGAAAGAACAACCACCCUGACUGGGACAGACACACCGCACUCACUCCUACGGGAGGCAUGGGUGAUUAAUUUUGGACGAUGAAAGAAUGAUUGAUCCAUGCCUGCCGUGUGAGUAAAGACUGCCUUCUGUUUGUAAAUUUUUUUUGUCCAGAAAUAAUUGCUUGUCUCUCAUACGGGCGAUGAAUGACCCUACCGAAUAAAUACCCGCCAACUACCUGCCUGCCACCACCCUCAUACAUACGUAGGGUGCAUUCAUCAAUCUUACUGACUGGACAUAAAGCGCGCGCAGGUUGCUAGCACCGAUCUAUAUUCCCUCCCCUCGCUCUGCCUGCUAACUUGAUUACUGACUGGCUAGAUAAAGUAUGACGGAGGUAGAAUUACUCCUGCAUGUAUCAGAUGCAUGCAUAUAUAUGUGAAUGAAUAUCGAUAGCGAAGGCACCCGCCUGAAUCCAGACUGACACUCAUGAACGAGUGCGUAGCGAGCAAAAUGAAUACAUAGCCUGUCCACCCCCUACCUGAUCUAUACCAGCUGUUGGUGAUGCAUUCCCUUCCUACGUACGUAACUCAUGCAGUUAACCGACUGGCUGGGUGCGGUCGCUCGAUGAAUAAUCACAUCGAAGUGACUGAGACGCGACCCCACACAGUCGAUGAUGGAUGAUGAUUCAAUUGCAUGCCACACAAACAUACCUACCCUUCCCAUUGAACUGGACAUACAUCCCUCUGCA